GGAAGUAAAAGCGUAACAAGGUUUCCGUAGGUGAACCUGCGGAAGGAUCAUUCAUAAUAAGUGUUUUAUGGCACUUUUUUAAAUCCAUAUCCACCUUGUGUGCAAUGUCAGGGUUGAUUUUUCUCUCGAGAGGAUCAACCCCAAACAUCAACUAUAUCUCAACUCUUUGUCUGAAAAAUAUUAUGAAUAAAACAAUUCAAAAUACAACUUUCAACAACGGAUCUCUUGGCUCUC
Molecule: unclassified non-coding RNA, 234 nt
Filed under: plant metagenome
Description: partial contains small subunit ribosomal RNA, internal transcribed spacer 1, and 5.8S ribosomal RNA
Rfam family: Eukaryotic small subunit ribosomal RNA (bases 1-53)
Source: RNAcentral